RNAcentral lists this ribosomal RNA (579 nucleotides) under uncultured bacterium. Its description in RNAcentral is "bacterial SSU rRNA". It matches the Rfam family "Bacterial small subunit ribosomal RNA", at positions 338 to 916 of the family's 1533-position model. The record is from RNAcentral.
CCUACGGGAGGCAGCAGUAAGGAAUAUUGGACAAUGGAGGGAACUCUGAUCCAGCCAUUCCGCGUGGAGGAAGAAGGCCCUAUGGGUUGUAAACUUCUUUUAGAUGGGAAUAAAAUGACUCUUGCGAGAGUUACUGAAGGUACCAUCAGAAUAAGCACCGGCUAACUCCGUGCCAGCAGCCGCGGUAAUACGGAGGGUGCGAGCGUUAUCCGGAAUUACUGGGUUUAAAGGGUGCGUAGGCGGAUGAUUAAGUCUGGGGUGAAAGAUUGUCGCUUAACGAUAAGAUUGCCUUGGAUACUGGUYRUCUUGAAUAAGGAUGAGGAUGGCGGAAUGUGACAUGUAGCGGUGAAAUGCAUAGAUAUGUCAUAGAACACCAAUUGCGAAGGCAGCUAUCUGGUCUUUUAUUGACGCUGAGGCACGAAAGCGUGGGGAGCGAACAGGAUUAGAUACCCUGGUAGUCCACGCCCUAAACGAUGCUAACUCGAUGUUUGGACAGUAAGUUUGAGCAUCCAAGCGAAAGCGUUAAGUUAGCCACCUGGGGAGUACGACCGCAAGGUUGAAACUCAAAUGAAUUGACGG